UACGGGGGGAGCAAGCGUUGUUCGGAUUUACUGGGCGUAAAGGGCGCGUAGGCGGCCACCGCAAGUCGACUGUGAAAUCUCCGGGCUUAACCCGGAAAGGUCAGCCGAUACUGCGGGGCUAGAGUGCAGAAGGGGCAACUGGAAUUCUCGGUGUAGCGGUGAAAUGCGUAGAUAUCGAGAGGAACACCUGCGGCGAAGGCGGGUUGCCGGGCUGACACUGACGCUGAAGUGCGAAAGCUAGGGGAGCGAACGGG
Molecule: ribosomal RNA, 254 nt
Filed under: uncultured bacterium
Lineage: Bacteria
Description: partial 16S ribosomal RNA
Rfam family: Bacterial small subunit ribosomal RNA
Source: RNAcentral